This 325-nucleotide ribosomal RNA is filed under the name uncultured Actinomycetes bacterium. Its description in RNAcentral is "bacterial SSU rRNA". It matches the Rfam family "Bacterial small subunit ribosomal RNA", at positions 28 to 351 of the family's 1533-position model. Lineage: Bacteria; Bacillati; Actinomycetota; Actinomycetes. The record is from RNAcentral.
GAUGAACGCUGGCGGCGUGCUUAACACAUGCAAGUCGAACGGUGACGACGGGGCUUGCUCUGUCUGAUCAGUGGCGAACGGGUGAGUAACACGUGAGUAACCUGCCCCCGACUCUGGAAUAACCGUGGGAAACGACGGCUAAUACCGGAUAUGAGACGCACGGGCAUCUGUGUGUCUGGAAAGAUUUAUCGGUCAGGGAUGGACUCGCGGCCUAUCAGCUUGUUGGUGGGGUAAUGGCCUACCAAGGCGACGACGGGUAGCCGGCCUGAGAGGGCGACCGGCCACACUGGGACUGAGAUACGGCCCAGACUCCUACGGGUGGCAG